RNAcentral lists this long non-coding RNA (471 nucleotides) under Astyanax mexicanus (Mexican tetra). Its description in RNAcentral is "lncRNA (ENSAMXG00005019622.1)". Lineage: Eukaryota; Metazoa; Chordata; Actinopteri; Characiformes; Acestrorhamphidae. The record is from RNAcentral.
UUUAUGUAUUUUCAUUCUUUCAGAUGACUAACUUAUUAUUUUUUUUUUUGCACAGUGAAACAGAGGGUCAGAACAGUGAGGAAAGAGGAGAAGAAAGUAACCAAGGAGGAGAAGCCCGCUGUCGAGGGCAAGAAGAAGACGAUUACAGCGAAGACGAAACCUGUUAAACCAGCUAAAGAAAAGGCUCCAGUUAAAGCCGCCCCAGAGGAGCAAAAACCAGCCAAGGACAUAGAAGAAAAACCAACUGAGCCACCUGCACCAGCAAAAGCUGAAGAAAAUGUUACUGAGGGCAAGAAACCAGGAAAGAUCCCGUACUUCCAGUGUGUAUUAGUGGGUGGAAAAGGCAGUCAGUAUCCACUGCGCCCGCUGUCUCCUGCUAUGACUCCUGCUAUUAACCCAGCCAUGAUGAGAGCCAUGAUGGAGCAGAGAGCCAGCGUGCUGGAGCAGAAGGCCAAGGAAUCAGGACAGUAA